This is a non-coding RNA of Kogia breviceps (pygmy sperm whale), 150 nucleotides long. NCBI's taxonomy places the organism in Eukaryota, Metazoa, Chordata, Mammalia, Artiodactyla, Physeteridae. The record is from RefSeq and is a predicted model, not a curated record.
AGAGUUUUCAGGAACUAAGAAGGGACUUACUGGCUUCACCCUCUUCAGGGCUUGGGCAAAUAACUAUAUCGUGGGCCCACUGCUUAGCUUAACAGGUGCUUGAAGAGGUUCAGCUGUGAUUGCUUUGUGUCUUCUCUUCCUGUUGCUCAC